GAGAUUGCCGGCGGCAGCUGGGCUGCAGCUGCUGAUGUCCGGCACCUUUUCGAUGAUCUUCGGACCGCUGAUUGGCUUAAUCCGGGAUCACACCA
This is a non-coding RNA of Drosophila melanogaster (fruit fly), 95 nucleotides long. NCBI's taxonomy places the organism in Eukaryota, Metazoa, Arthropoda, Insecta, Diptera, Drosophilidae. The record is from Ensembl.